UACGGGAGAUGCAAGCGUUGUUCGGAAUCACUGGGCUUAAAGCGCGUGUAGGCGGCAAGGUAAGUACCUUGUGAAAUCCCUCCUCUCAAUGGAGGAAUUGCUUGGUAUACUGCCCUGCUUGAGGCAGGUAGGGGUGCCUGGAACUCUAGGUGGAGCGGUGAAAUGCGUAGAUAUUCGGAGGAACACCAGUGGCGAAGGCGGCUCACUGGUCCAUUACUGACGCUGAGGUGCGAAAGCGUGGGGAGCAAACAGG
This 253-nucleotide ribosomal RNA is filed under the name uncultured bacterium. Its description in RNAcentral is "partial 16S ribosomal RNA". It matches the Rfam family "Bacterial small subunit ribosomal RNA", at positions 524 to 776 of the family's 1533-position model. The record is from RNAcentral.